RNAcentral lists this ribosomal RNA (468 nucleotides) under uncultured bacterium. RNAcentral describes it as "partial 16S ribosomal RNA". It matches the Rfam family "Bacterial small subunit ribosomal RNA", at positions 28 to 507 of the family's 1533-position model. The record is from RNAcentral.
GACGAACGCUGGCGGCGUGCUUAACACAUGCAAGUCGAACGGAAAGGCCCUGCUUUUGUGGGGUACUCGAGUGGCGAACGGGUGAGUAACACGUGAGUAACCUGCCCUUGACUUUGGGAUAACUUCAGGAAACUGGGGCUAAUACCGGAUAGGAGCUCCUGCUGCAUGGUGGGGGUUGGAAAGUUUCGGCGGUUGGGGAUGGACUCGCGGCUUAUCAGCUUGUUGGUGGGGUAGUGGCUUACCAAGGCUUUGACGGGUAGCCGGCCUGAGAGGGUGACCGGCCACAUUGGGACUGAGAUACGGCCCAGACUCCUACGGGAGGCAGCAGUGGGGAAUAUUGCACAAUGGGCGGAAGCCUGAUGCAGCAACGCCGCGUGCGGGAUGACGGCCUUCGGGUUGUAAACUGCUUUCGCCUGUGACGAAGCGUGAGUGACGGUAAUGGGUAAAGAAGCACCGGCUAACUACGUG